This 1210-nucleotide long non-coding RNA is filed under the name Brassica rapa (field mustard). RNAcentral's name for it is "long non-coding RNA (BRAP_LNC002155)". Lineage: Eukaryota; Viridiplantae; Streptophyta; Magnoliopsida; Brassicales; Brassicaceae. The record is from RNAcentral.
UGGCUAAAAACACAAAGAUUAAGAAAACUAUUAUGUUUUAAAAAGUAUUGUAUAAUAAAUAGGUUAAAUAUAAUUUAACCAAUAAAAAUAAGUAUAUUUAAUUUGAUUGUUCAGACUGUAUUCAAUAAAAGUAAAAGUUAUCUAGAAAUAUGAAAACUACUUAUAUUUUGAAACAAAAAAGUUUCUCUAAAACUACUUGCAAUAUGAACGGAUGGAGUAGUAUAUUAUCCACAAGUUUGUAAGUAAAUCUGAUAAAUAUUUUUUGUUAUUGUUAUGGGGACUCAAGAUAGAGCUAGACAGCCACACAGAAGAGGAUCUCUCGGUAACUUCUCUCUCCUUGCAAUAUCUGCGCUCCGCCUCCUUUACCUUCAGACCAGUAGCAGCUCCGGUGACCGGUGCGUGGCGGCUCCGUUAGCGCCACCGCCGGUCAGAUCUGUAGUGGAUUCUCUCGUUCUUUGUUCUGCACUUUUUAGUUUUCUGUUUGAUGGAGAUAUGGUUGUUGAGGAGCUUGAGAGCUUGCGGCUUAGAGUGGUUUGUCGCAUCUACCUUGGGUCCGUUGUAUGCUGAAGCCGUUUCUGAAUGUCGUAUAUGCAGUCAUGGCUUUGGCUGGUUUUAAUUACAUAUGUUUUGAUCCAGAUCUAGAUCCAAUCCUCCAUAGUUUUCAGGUUCUUUUCAAGUUUUUCUUAUCUAAAUCUCUCCUUUAUUUUAUGGAGGUUGCUGUAGUUGAUUAGUCUUGGGAUUUAUCCUUAUCGUUUUGGAAAAAUCAUGGCUCUACCAAUGGUCUCUUGGUUUCUAAGCUUGUAAUGUUUUUGAGUUAUGGUGCUAUUGGGAACGGUUUCCUGUCUUGCUGCUGGCAUCCUUUAGUUGUCGGUGAAGUUUUGGCGGAUUGACCUCUGUUUCUCCAGUUCUUAUGUGAAUGGAGAGUUCAGUGUAAGGCUUUUAUCGAGGUUUAGUUUGGUCGCAUGAAGUGCGUCGCUGCUGCCGUAUCCGGAAGAGGAGGAGACCCUAGAGUGGUUCGAUCUUGCCGGGUUAUAAAGUCUGGGUUCGUUGGUGUGGAGAGGAGUGCUCUCAGUUUGGUGUCGUCAGAGGUUGAGGUUAUCGUUCGGUGGGCCGUGAGCGACAACGAUAAAUCCCGUUCAGAUGCACCUGAAGUUGUUGGGUUGAUGCAAGCUUGGUGUGCUAGGUUCAUUGUGAGUUCCAUCGAAUUUUC